UACGAAGGGGGCUAGCGUUGCUCGGAAUCACUGGGCGUAAAGCGCACGUAGGCGGAUCUUUAAGUCGGGGGUGAAAUCCCGGGGCUCAACCCCGGAACUGCCUUCGAUACUGAGGAUCUUGAGUCCGGGAGAGGUGAGUGGAACUGCGAGUGUAGAGGUGAAAUUCGUAGAUAUUCGCAAGAACACCAGUGGCGAAGGCGGCGCACUGGCCCGGUACUGACGCUGAGGUGCGAAAGCGUGGGGAGCAAACAGG
This 253-nucleotide ribosomal RNA is filed under the name uncultured bacterium. Its description in RNAcentral is "partial 16S ribosomal RNA". It matches the Rfam family "Bacterial small subunit ribosomal RNA", at positions 524 to 776 of the family's 1533-position model. The record is from RNAcentral.